This 1244-nucleotide ribosomal RNA is filed under the name metagenome. RNAcentral's name for it is "bacterial LSU rRNA". It matches the Rfam family "Bacterial large subunit ribosomal RNA", at positions 1564 to 2816 of the family's 2925-position model. The record is from RNAcentral.
UGAAUACGAGACGCUAAGGCGUCGAAGUAGUGUAUGUCAUACUUCCAAGAAAAGCUUGCACUGUCAUAAGUAAAAAAUGCCUGUACCAUAACCGACACAGGUGGGUAGGUAGAGUAUACUAAGGGGCGCGAGAUAACUCUCUCUAAGGAACUCGGCAAAAUAACUCCGUAACUUCGGGAGAGGGAGUACCUUAUUCUAUAAGGUUGCAAUAACAAGAUCCAAGCAACUGUUUAUCAAAAACACAGGUCUCCGCUAAGUCGUAAGACGAUGUAUGGGGGCUGACGCCUGCCCAGUGCCAGAAGGUUAAAGAAGUCGGUUAGCAUUAGCGAAGCUGGUAACUGAAGCCCUGGUGAACGGCGGCCGUAACAAUAACGGUCCUAAGGUAGCGAAAUUCCUUGUCGGGUAAGUUCCGACCCGCACGAAAGGCGUAAUGAUUUGGAUACUGUCUCGGAGAGGGGCUCGGUGAAAUAGACUUGUCUGUGAAGAUGCGGACUACCUGCACCAGGACAGAAAGACCCUAUGAAGCUUUACUGUAACUUGAAAUUGAAAUUGGACUUUAUUCGCGCAGUAUAGGUGGGAGGUGUUGAUUAUAAUCUUGCGGGAUUAUUGGAGCCAUCAGUGAGAUACCACUCUUGUAAUGUUAGAUUUCUAACUUUGAAUCAUUAUCUGGUCAAAGGACAGUUUCAGGCGGGCAGUUUGACUGGGGCGGUCGCCUCCCAAACGGUAACGGAGGCGUACAAAGGUUUCCUCUGAACGGGUAGAAAUCGUAUCUAGAGUGUAAAGGCAUAAGGAAGCUUGACUGUGAGACCUACAAGUCGAACAGGGACGAAAGUCGGUCUUAGUGAUCUGACAGUACUGAGUGGAAAGGCCGUCACUCAACGGAUAAAAGUUACUCUAAGGAUAACAGGCUGAUCUCCCCCAAGAGUUCACAUCGACGGGGAGGUUUGGCACCUCGAUGUCGGCUCAUCGCAUCCUGGGGCGGUAGUACGUCCCAAGGGUUGGGCUGUUCGCCCAUGAAAGCGGUACGCGAGCUGGGUUCAGAACGUCGUGAGACAGUUCGGUCCAUAUCCGGUGUAGGCGUUAGAAUAUUGAGAGGAGCCUUCUUUAGUACGAGAGGACCGAGAAGGACAUACCUCUGGUGUACCAGUUAUCGUGCCAACGGUAAACGCUGGGUAGCUAUGUAUGGAGUGGAUAACCGCUGAAAGCAUCUAAGUGGGAAGCCCACCUCAAGAUAAGUAUUCUCA